Dreissena polymorpha is the source of this 2882-nucleotide long non-coding RNA. RefSeq lists it as uncharacterized. Lineage: Eukaryota; Metazoa; Mollusca; Bivalvia; Myida; Dreissenidae. The record is from RefSeq and is a predicted model, not a curated record. The transcript has 5 exons.
GGACCGGAAGUCCGGCGUGAAUAUUACCGUGUCCGUUUAGCAACAACAGCAGGACGACCUGGCGAGGCUGCGUAACAUUAUCUUACGUGCGGUCACCAUCUUUAAAGCAGAUUUAGCCGGGACGGGACUUACAAUAACCUACAAUCGCGCGAGGGUGGUGGACUUUACAAUGCCGUUUCUCAAUCUUGGCAUCUCCACCAUCUACAAGAAGGCGGAAAAGAAGCCGCCGGCUCUGUAAUCCUUCCUGUCGCCCCUCUCUAUUGAAGUCUGGAUCUACAUGAUCGCCGACUACCUCUGUGUCAGCUUUAUGCUCUUUGUUAUAGCAAGAUUCACGCCUUACGAAUGGAAGAAUCCACAUCCGUGCAACGAAGACUCGGAGGUGGUGGAGAACCAAUUUACGAUCCUCAACAGCCUGUGGUUCACUAUCGGCUCUCUCAUGCAGCAAGUACGGUAGAAUGUUGCAACCUAGUCAUACAGCCGCCUUUUGCUAUGUGCGACACCAUGUGACGUAAUGCCAAAAGCAAUCUCGACCCGGAUGGUGGCCUGCCUGUGGUGGUUCGUUGUCCUCAUCUUUAUAUCUUCCUAUACCGCCAAUCUCACCGCGUUUCUAACCGUGUCCCGGAUGGACGCCCCCAUCAAAAACGCCGAAGAUCUGUCAAAGCAAAGUUCAAUUAAAUAUGUGACGUUCAAAUCGGGACCUACAAGAAAUUUCUUUAAGGUAUUGCGUUAAAAAGUACAAAAUAUAACCCGUUCAUCCCUCCCCAACACGGUGUGUAUCAUCUACGCUCAAGCAGGUGUGUAUAACCUACAUGUGCAACAUGCGACGGAAGUUUAUGCUGAAAGUAAAGAAUCCUUGGCCCGUAAUCACCGACCAAAAUCCUAGAAUUUAGUCUAAUAGUAAAGAAUAUUCUUAAAACUGUAAUGAUCGUACAGUCUUGCCAUAUUUAAUAUCACGUGGAAUGUAACACUUUAUUUACUCAAUUUUUUGUUUUGAACAAUUAAUUUAUGACAAAAGCAAAAUUAUUAGCUUGUCUACAUUCAACCACUGAACAUAUUUUCUUGGAUCAAAGUAUAUUCUUUAUUUUAAUUCGGUUAAUACGGGCCCAGGACAUAACAACAAACAAGGUAGGUGGCAGUUUGUUAUCUUUCAUGAAUGCAUCACACUCCAGAAUCAAUCCACGCAGAAAAAAUAAACUUAAAAAGUACUUCUUAACAGUCAUUAUUAAAAUAAAUGCUUUGUAAAACCAUUUUCAAAAUUUUGAAAUAUAAUACAUGCACAUGUAUUUGUCGACCACAUAAUACAACUAAUUCUGCAAUUCUGACAUAUUCUGGAGUUGUGUCAAUGUACCAACUUUAGGACUUCUAAAGACGCCUAAAGAAUGUAAGACAAAAAGUAAAGUGCAAGUGUAUAUUGAUUCCCGUAUCUAUGCUUUUUAGACUAUUUUGGUAAGGUGCCUGUAGAUCUGAUGCAGCAUGCGCAUUUUAAAUAGAGUCACGAUAGAAAACUCCGAUUAUAGUAAUAUUUCGUCCCUAUUUAUCACAGAAAUCAUCAGAGCUCCAACACUGAUAAUUUAUUUUAGUUAACGAGGCUUACGUUUUUGUGUGUUUUUUUUAUCUUGUCUUUAAAAUCACUUUUUGUUUGAAUUGUCAAGUGUUAAACUUAACGUCAAGUUUUCACAAGUCAUAUAUAAUAUGGGUACUAGUAUAGUACUUUGGCCAUAGUCACACCUAACGUUCGUAUAACAACAACUAACGUUCGAUAUAGGCAAAAUGUAUUGUAAUAUAGAGCAGAAUGCAGAAAAAACGUAGUGAGAACACAGUGUACCUUUUAAACUACAACCCCAUGUGCAUCGUCGUUUAUGGCUAGAUGACUAACUGAGAUAAGGUCUCAUAACGGACACCAGAACAUCUGCACUAUUGCUAAGUAACAAUUUAUAAUUGCUUACAACACUAUAUAACUAUUUGCAUACUAGACGUCUGCUUAGAAGUUUGGAAGAUUAAGAGCGUUCUUAUAAGACGUCGAUACUGCUUGACACUUAAGAUGUCAAGUGUUUGUCGAGCUUUUUUCAAAUGAUACUCUGUGUUGUGAUUCAAAUGAUAAAAGUAACGCUUCGAAAUUUCUGUAAAAAAUACACAUCAGUAGCUACUCAAUAAUUGACCGUGUGCUGUUAACGUGAAUUGAAAUGUUUGUGUUUUCGAAUCUUUUAUGAUACAACAUAAUUAUAUUGUUUGAACACAGCACAAUUAUUAAUUAUUUGAAAAGUUUUCAUAUCUUGAAAGAAAGUAGUAAACAGUCAAAAAACAGUUGACAGAGCCAUAUUAUUUCAUAUCUUUUAUACCUUCCAAACAAGAAAUCAUAUGAACAUCGUUCUGGGAAUAAUGGGCUUAAUGUAUGCGCUUAAAAUGUCGUCCCAGUUUAGCCUGUAAAGUCCGCAUCUUUUUAUCAGUGACGACACUUUCCGACAUUAUCAGAAGUAUCACUCAUUGUUUCUCCCACAUGACUCCAAUCUGACGGUGUUCAAACGUAUGAAUGCGUACAUGGAGGCAAACGCGGACUCUAUUCUGGUUGGCAACAACACAGACGGGUUCGAGCGGGUCGUGAAGAGCAACUACGCGUUACUGGCUGAGUCCACGUCGAUCGAUUACCAGAUACAGCGCAACUGCAAUCUCAUGCAAAUCGGGUCCGAUUUGGACACUAAGGGAUACGGCAUCGCAGCGCCGAAAGGAAACUAGAAUACCUAGAAUACUGGUUCGCCUUGGAUUGGCAUCAUCUCCCGCGAGGUUGUGCGUCUUCAGCAGCAACAGGUCAUCCAGGGCAUCUACAAGAAGUGGUGGGCGACCAGGCGGGAAAAAAGUGCAAGACCGACGACGACGAAGACGCC